Austrofundulus limnaeus is the source of this 1020-nucleotide long non-coding RNA. RefSeq lists it as uncharacterized. NCBI's taxonomy places the organism in Eukaryota, Metazoa, Chordata, Actinopteri, Cyprinodontiformes, Rivulidae. The transcript has 2 exons. The record is from RefSeq and is a predicted model, not a curated record.
CUGGUGGGCAGGGCCACYCCAGGGAAACGCCCAAUCUCCGACGUGCUUCGUAGUGUCAGCCGUUCACCUGGCAUCCUGAAAAACAAGGCCAGAAGAGGUGUCGCUAUCUUAGCUGAACUGCUAAUGAAGAAGCUGCUAAUAAACUCAUAACUAUCAUGACUUUUCAGCAACCAACAAGCCAGUCAAUGAACUACAGCAACCUACCUGGCUCAGUGAACCUCUAGCUUGGACCAUUUGUUUGCAUCAGAACAAUGCCCAUUCUUGCAAAUGCUGUUUGGCAACUUGUCGCAGCCAAGAGAGAUAACUUACCUUCCUAGCUAGCAGACACAGUUGUGUUUGGGUUGCACAUUUUGCUACAUUUGCUGAAUUUUAGGCUAUUUCUGCCCUCAGGUGAACUAUUUUAACAUUUUUCUUCUAACAAUCUCUGGCCACAUUGUAUUACUGAAAUACGUAAUAAUAUAUAAUAAAUAGUUGAGUUUUGAGUCACAGGUGGAUUGUGUGGUUAAAAAAGCACACCAACAGAUGCAUUUUUAUCGCAAGCUUCGUUCUUUUAAUGUCAGUCCUGUUUUUAUGAAGAUGUUUUAUUCUGCUUUUAUUGGAUCUGUUCUCACUUUUGCUUUUAUUUGUUGGUACGGGUCACUUUCCAUCAAAUGUAAGAAUUGCUCACAUAAUAUUGUCAAGAUUUGUUGUARGGUUGCUGGCAUGUCUCUAAAUGACCUGAGUGAGGUCUAUAAUUCCAGGUCUUUAAAGAAGGCUAAGAUCAUUCUAGCUGAUUCAAGCCAAACUUUGUGGGGACAAUUCUCCCUCUUACCUUCAUGUCGGAGCACUGUAAGAAAAACAGACUGAAAAAAUCUUUUGUUCCAGCUGCAAUUGGCCUGAUUAAUUCCAGGCCUAUAUUGUAAGUGUUGACAUGGAAUAUAUGUAUGUAUGUUGUACAUUGUAUGUGUUGGUUUUUCUCUUUUCACUGCUGUCUGUGCAACAAAUUGCCCCUCGGGGAUAAUAAAGUUUUACUUGACUUGA